UGGGAUAUUACAACAACAUAGAGGUUACUGGAAACAACCAGGUCCGUUUGGGAUAUUACAACAACAUAGAGGUUACUGGAAACAACCAGGUCCGUUUGGGAUAUUACAACAACAUAGAAGUUACUGGAAACAACCAAACAGUUUUUUCCCCUCAGACAUUGCAGGUGCGAUAGAAAAGCACAAUAUGUACUGCAGUUGUUUUUAUCAUGAUGAUCCUCAGCUGGGCAACAAAAACAAUAACAACGGUGUUGGGGCGGCCAGUGGCAAUGUUUCCACCUACUGGGGAUUCCAGCUGUAAGGUCCAGUGAAUUUACUUUCUACCAAUCGUGACACAAGACUAUGGUAGCCUGCUAAGCUAAAGCCUAGACAUCAGCUCAGGGAGCUACCACAAGUCCUCAGGUCUCAGACAAG
Long non-coding RNA from Oncorhynchus tshawytscha (Chinook salmon), 411 nucleotides. The record is from Ensembl. NCBI's taxonomy places the organism in Eukaryota, Metazoa, Chordata, Actinopteri, Salmoniformes, Salmonidae.